This 264-nucleotide ribosomal RNA is filed under the name uncultured bacterium. RNAcentral's name for it is "partial 16S ribosomal RNA". It matches the Rfam family "Bacterial small subunit ribosomal RNA", at positions 90 to 354 of the family's 1533-position model. The record is from RNAcentral.
UCUUAGUGGCGGACGGGUGAGUAACGCGUGGGUAACCUGCCUUGCACUGGGGGAUAACACUUAGAAAUAGGUGCUAAUACCGCAUAAGCGCACGGUCCUGCAUGGGACAGUGUGAAAAACUCCGGUGGUGCAAGGUGGACCCGCGUCUGAUUAGCUGGUUGGCGGGGUAAAGGCCCACCAAGGCGACGAUCAGUAGCCGGCCUGAGAGGGUGGACGGCCACAUUGGGACUGAGACACGGCCCAAACUCCUACGGAAGGCAGCAG